UCUACGGUGUGCAGCAGUGGGGAAUAUUGGACAAUGGGCGAAAGCCUGAUCCAGCCAUGCCGCGUGUGUGAAGAAGGCCUUCGGGUUGUAAAGCACUUUCAGUGGGGAAGAAAGCCUUGGGGCUAAUACCCUCGAGGAAGGACAUCACCCACAGAAGAAGCACCGGCUAACUCCGUGCCAGCAGCCGCGGUAAUACGGAGGGUGCGAGCGUUAAUCGGAAUUACUGGGCGUAAAGCGCGCGUAGGCGGUCUGAUAAGCCGGUUGUGAAAGCCCCGGGCUCAACCUGGGAACGGCAUCCGGAACUGUCAGGCUAGAGUGCAGGAGAGGAAGGUAGAAUUCCCGGUGUAGCGGUGAAAUGCGUAGAGAUCGGGAGGAAUACCAGUGGCGAAGGCGGCCUUCUGGACUGACACUGACGCUGAGGUGCGAAAGCGUGGGUAGCAAACAGGAUUAGAUACCCCAGUAGUC
This 465-nucleotide ribosomal RNA is filed under the name Vreelandella stevensii. RNAcentral's name for it is "partial 16S ribosomal RNA". It matches the Rfam family "Bacterial small subunit ribosomal RNA", at positions 338 to 795 of the family's 1533-position model. Lineage: Bacteria; Pseudomonadati; Pseudomonadota; Gammaproteobacteria; Oceanospirillales; Halomonadaceae. The record is from RNAcentral.